CUGCGACUGUUUGCAACCUUUUUAGCGGUCAAUUUGUGAUUGAUUUUUCCCAGAAACCGUUUCACUUUGGGCUCAUUUUCGCCACUCUAAACCCGCCUUAGAGCCCGAUGCUCACGGACAUUCAAGGGGCUGUUUACUUGCCAGCAACUUAAAAAACUUAACAAAUUAAGCUGAUAAAAACCACAUACACAACUGCCAAGCCCUCCAUCAGCGAACUGAAUUUCCAUAAAAACAAAAACUGAGCCCGUUUUCCAGUGUGAGGCACGCACGUUAAUGUUCCACCACGUAGGUCUAUGCCGCACCAAAUCGCGCAAAUAGUAGAAAGUGAAUACAACUAUCUCGACAGCGCCAGUCAUUUAUGUACAAUUGCCAUCAUAUAAUGAUGAUAUCGCCAUAUCAAGCCGCAAUUUCCACCUAAAUGUUUCAAGUGGCCCGUCUAUACUUAUCGCUUUUCCAAUUAAAGGAUCAGAUACUGUGUUAUAAUUGUUUCUGCCUCCCAAACAACACAUGAUUCACUAGAUAAGCGACAAACGCAUACUUCACUGUCAGUUAUGACACUGUGUCAAAUUGGGACUUUCAACGUGUGUCAGUUGUCAAAAGUUUGUAGUUUUGACAAGUUGCACUGACAGAAAUGUCUAUAUUUACCUCUAUCGCGCUACUAUUGGUUGGACGGUAUUUAGUAAUGUUAGCUUUACCAGAAAAGUAAACUGCUCAACAAAUGAACAUUUUGCCGCGGCGCAAGCUCGGCUCGCUACGUCUGGCCGCGGCGCUACAUUUUUGCCCCAACUUUGGAAGUCGACAAAUUCUGAUUUGGUUUGUAUUUGAAGCGUUUUUGAGCCCCAUGUGUUGUUAGCCAAUGUUUCGGUAACAAUUAAGCAUCUAAGACAAAUUUUGUACAGAGUGGCAAAUAAAAAACUGCAAAAUUUGCAAAAUAAA
Molecule: long non-coding RNA, 936 nt
Organism: Dendroctonus ponderosae (mountain pine beetle)
Lineage: Eukaryota; Metazoa; Arthropoda; Insecta; Coleoptera; Curculionidae
Exons: 2
Source: RefSeq, a predicted model, not a curated record